RNAcentral lists this ribosomal RNA (837 nucleotides) under uncultured bacterium. RNAcentral's name for it is "bacterial SSU rRNA". It matches the Rfam family "Bacterial small subunit ribosomal RNA", at positions 62 to 868 of the family's 1533-position model. The record is from RNAcentral.
CCAAUUGAUUGAUGGUGCUUGCACCUGAUUGAUUUUGGUUGCCAACGAGUGGCGGACGGGUGAGUAACACGUACGUAACCUGCCCAGAAGCGGGGGACAACAUUUGGAAACAGAUGCUAAUACCGCAUAACAGCGUUGUUCGCAUGAACAACGCUUAAAAGAUGGCUUCUCGCUAUCACUUCUGGAUGGACCUGCGGUGCAUUAGCUUGUUGGUGGGGUAACGGCCUACCAAGGCGAUGAUGCAUAGCCGAGUUGAGAGACUGAUCGGCCACAAUGGGACUGAGUCACGGCCCAUACUCCUACGGGAGGCAGCAGUAGGGAAUCUUCCACAAUGGGCGCAAGCCUGAUGGAGCAACACCGCGUGAGUGAAGAAGGGUUUCGGCUCGUAAAGCUCUGUUGUUAAAGAAGAACACGUAUGAGAGUAACUGUUCAUACGUUGACGGUAUUUAACCAGAAAGUCACGGCUAACUACGUGCCAGCAGCCGCGGUAAUGCGUAGGUGGCAAGCGUUAUCCGGAUUUAUUGGGCGUAAAGAGAGUGCAGGCGGUUUUCUAAGUCUGAUGUGAAAGCCUUCGGCUUAACCGGAGAAGUGCAUCGGAAACUGGAUAACUUGAGUGCAGAAGAGGGUAGUGGAACUCCAUGUGUAGCGGUGGAAUGCGUAGAUAUAUGGAAGAACACCAGUGGCGAAGGCGGCUACCUGGUCUGCAACUGACGCUGAGACUCGAAAGCAUGGGUAGCGAACAGGAUUAGAUACCCUGGUAGUCCAUGCCGUAAACGAUGAGUGCUAGGUGUUGGAGGGUUUCCGCCCUUCGGUGCCGGAGCUAACGCAUUAAGCACU